GGCGCAUAGAAUGGAGACUUCCGGGCCAUGUCAGGCCUUUUGCUUUUACUAGAUGGAGUUUCACCACGUUGUCUAGGCUGGUCUCUAACUCCUGACCUCGUGAUCCACCUGCCUCGGCCUCCCAAAAUGCUGGGGUUACAGGCGUGAGCCACCGCGCCCAGCCCUGAUAUUCAUUUUAAAGGAAUCUCUGUGUGUAGUGUUGAUGGCAGACUUACAGGAACAGGGCAGAAGCACGGAGAGAUCAGUGAAGAGUUAAAUCCAGAACCGAGAUGCACCUGAGAGAAAUUACAUCACAUUAUUCAUCAAUGGGGGCACAUAUACAUGUGUAGAGUUGCUCUUCCGUAUCCAUGGGGGAUUGGUUCCAGGAUUCCUUCAGAUACCAGCAUGUACAGAUGCUCAAGUCCCUCAGAUUUGUCGAAGAUUAGAUAGCGAAGUCAUGGAACCAACCCAAAUGCCUAUCAACGACAGACUGGAUAAAGAAAAUGUGGUACAAAUACAUCACAGAAUACUAUGAGGCCAUAAAAAAGGAAUGGGAUCACAUCCUUUGCAGGUACAUAAAUAAUGCUGGAAGCCAUUGUCCUCAGCAAACUAACACAGGAACAGAAAACCAAACACUGCAUGCUCUCAUUCAUAAGUGGGAGCUGAACAAUGAGAACACAUGGAUACAGGGAGGGGAACACCACACACCAGGGCCUGUUGGGGGGUGAGGGAGGGCAGGGGGAGGGAAUUUAGAGGAUGGGUCAAUAGGUGCAGCAAACCACCAUGGCACACAUAUUCCUGUGUAACAAACCUGUACGUUCUGCACAUAUAUCCCAGAACUUAAAGUAAAAUAAAAAAAUAAAAUAAAAUAAAAAAUAAAACU
This 862-nucleotide long non-coding RNA is filed under the name Homo sapiens (human). RNAcentral's name for it is "HSALNT0026529". Lineage: Eukaryota; Metazoa; Chordata; Mammalia; Primates; Hominidae. The record is from RNAcentral.